UGGGGAAUAUUGCACAAUGGGCGCAAGCCUGAUGCAGCGACGCCGCGUGCGGGAUGGAGGCCUUCGGUUGUAAACCGCUUUUGUUCAAGGGCAAGGCACGGUCUUUGGCCGUGUUGAGUGGAUUGUUCGAAUAAGCACCGGNUAACUACGUGCC
RNAcentral lists this ribosomal RNA (154 nucleotides) under uncultured bacterium. Its description in RNAcentral is "partial 16S ribosomal RNA". It matches the Rfam family "Bacterial small subunit ribosomal RNA", at positions 355 to 509 of the family's 1533-position model. The record is from RNAcentral.